AUACUCUGGUUUCACCUCAGAUCGUAUAAAUCUUUCGCCUUUUACUAAAGAUUUCCGUGGGGAGGAACAUUUAUGAGUUUUCAACUAAUUUUUUGAGGCCUUGCUGCGGCAGGGCU
RNAcentral lists this small nuclear RNA (116 nucleotides) under Podarcis lilfordi (Lilford's wall lizard). RNAcentral's name for it is "U5 spliceosomal RNA". It matches the Rfam family "U5 spliceosomal RNA". Rfam says of the family: U5 RNA is a component of both types of known spliceosome. The precise function of this molecule is unknown, though it is known that the 5' loop is required for splice site selection and p220 binding, and that both the 3' stem-loop and the Sm site are important for Sm protein binding and cap methylation. The record is from Rfam by way of RNAcentral. Lineage: Eukaryota; Metazoa; Chordata; Lepidosauria; Squamata; Lacertidae.